Haliotis rubra (blacklip abalone) is the source of this 302-nucleotide long non-coding RNA. RefSeq lists it as uncharacterized. Lineage: Eukaryota; Metazoa; Mollusca; Gastropoda; Lepetellida; Haliotidae. The transcript has 3 exons. The record is from RefSeq and is a predicted model, not a curated record.
CCACACUGCAGGAUAUAGAAGACUGUUCAUUUUACUCUUGUGACAAGACUACAGUUUUCUAAGAGGAGCUUCAAGCACAGAAACGGGUUGGCGGCAAAGACAUGCAUCAGACCAACUGUUGAGUUUUAACCCUUGGCCAUGGGUCAGUACAAUGUAAAAGGAAUUGGAAACAAGAGAAGCUUUUCUACAACAAGACUGUAGAAACUGAUCAGAGAGAUGGUGCUUUGGCCAACUGUCCAACAUCUACUGAAACAGAUAUAGCAAGCUUCAUAGGUUAAUAUUUGAAACAAACAUGCUCCAAG